UGGGGAAUUUUGGACAAUGGGCGAAAGCCUGAUCCAGCAAUGCCGCGUGUGUGAAGAAGGCCUUCGGGUUGUAAAGCACUUUUGUCCGGAAAGAAAUCCUUGGCUCUAAUACAGUCGGGGGAUGACGGUACCGGAAGAAUAAGCACCGGCUAACUACGUGCCAGCAGCCGCGGUAAUACGUAGGGGUGCAAGCGUUAAUCGGAAUUACUGGGCGUAAAGCGUGCGCAGGCGGUUUGCUAAGACCGAUGUGAAAUCCCCGGGCUCAACCUGGGAACUGCAUUGGUGACUGGCAGGCUAGAGUAUGGCAGAGGGGGGUAGAAUUCCACGUUAGCAGUGAAAAUGCGUAGAGAUGUGGAGGAAUACCGAUGGCGAAGGCAGCCCCCUGGGCCAAAUACUGACGCUCAUGCACGAAAGCGUGGGGAGCAAACAGGAUUAGAUACCCUGGUAGUCCACGCCCUAAAACGAUGUCAACUAGUUGUUGGGGAUUCAUUUCCUUAGUAACGUAGCUAACGCGUGAAGUUGACCGCCUGGGGAGUACGUCGCAAGAUUAAAAACUCAAAGGAAUUGACGGGGUCAUAGCUGUUUCCU
Molecule: ribosomal RNA, 588 nt
Filed under: uncultured bacterium
Lineage: Bacteria
Description: partial 16S ribosomal RNA
Rfam family: Bacterial small subunit ribosomal RNA
Source: RNAcentral